GUUCGUGUUAUUUAAAGGAACAUGCUGAGAAAAUGACUGUUUUCAUAAGUGAUAGUAAAUCAUUGCAUUUAAAAAAACAAAUCGUGAUUUAAAUCUAAUCAGUCGAGUCACAGGCACUUGUCUAUAUCUACAGGUAUUUUUUCACAAACAAGUGCCUGCGAGUCACAAUGACUUAAAUUUUUCUCCCGUCAUGUCUCUGAAAUUGUCAAUUCUCG
RNAcentral lists this long non-coding RNA (215 nucleotides) under Mytilus galloprovincialis (Mediterranean mussel). Lineage: Eukaryota; Metazoa; Mollusca; Bivalvia; Mytilida; Mytilidae. The record is from RNAcentral.